Phalacrocorax carbo (great cormorant) is the source of this 2447-nucleotide non-coding RNA. Lineage: Eukaryota; Metazoa; Chordata; Aves; Suliformes; Phalacrocoracidae. The record is from RefSeq and is a predicted model, not a curated record.
GAAAGGAGGGCGCAAGGGGUUGUGGGAGCCGGGAGCCCUUCCGGGACGCGGACGGCGACCGACUGCGCCGGCGCCAACCGGAGCGGAUCUGUGCGGCGGGGGGAGGGAGGGAGCGAGCGCGGCUAGGAGACCUUUGACGCAGUGCUUUUCAUACACAAAAGAAGAACCGAAACAGUGAAGGCCAAGUACCUCAUGAGUCUGUCGACAGUCUUUUGGAAUCGCCAGAUAGCUUUCAGAGUGACACGCCACGACUGAGCGCCUCCUCCUGCGCACCCGUCGAUGACGGAGGCUGCACAGGGUAGUGUUCCUUUUUAUUUUGCUCUGUCAGUACGUACUGUGCUCACGAGCCAGUGCAAACUGAAUCCAGCAUGCCGUAAAUGCGCUGCCUGUGGCAGUCCACGCGCUGUGGCGUACUUCUGUCAUACAGCUUUGAAAGAAAUGCUUGUGCAAAAGCCAACACAGUAAGUACAAAGUCAUUCUCUUCUGCCCCAUGUGCCCAUUGGUUAAAGCUAAUCGUGCAUUGAUUGUGCUGGUGGGACUCUAUCGCAGUGGCUGUGGUAAAUUUGAUGAUUCUGAUAAGCUAUUGCUUCUUCUUGAUGUUAGUUGUUGCUGCUGCUGCUGCUGCUGCUGCUGCGCUGUCUGAUGAUACCCCAUGUUUCCUUGCUGUGGCGAGUAAGAGGGCAGGAGCAAAGAAUCGGGUUGCUCAUUGUGCAAAGAACUUGGUGUUUGCACCUACAGAUAAAAUAAAACUCACCGUGGUGUUCGAUUCUUUCACAUGUUAUAGCUGUUCGUCCUCAAGGUACAGGGUGCUUAAAAAUACUACUUGUUUGCUGGCUUUUAUUUCUGGGGCUGUUUGGCAUGGGCUUAGCUUACCUAAUGCUAGAAGGAGUGGUCAUAAAUGGCAACGAAGAACAUUACAGUUAGGCAUUGUGAAAGGUUUUCUAGUAGGAAUGCACUGCCUAGGGUUUGCAGGUUAUCCUGAAAAGGCCGUUUAUGAACAGAGUGGGAGAACGUGUCAGAAAUGACACGGGUGGAUGAUAGAAAUGAAACAAAAAUUAAACAGGAUCCUAGUGUACCUCAUGCUGUCUCUUCUAGCCCUUCCUUUUUGUGAGUUUACAGCAGGGUGUGACCUUGCAGUGGUGAAGCCAAUAUGAAUUUUGCAGAUGGUUUUGUUGGGAACAGUAUCUGCCACAGUUUUUUUUUGAUUAAUUCUCAGCUAUGAUAAGGAUUUCAUUUCAAUAACAAGAGUUUAAUCAUUUGAGGUUGGUGAUACUCUUUCAAUGAUGCCAGUGGUUAUGUGAUCAUGUUUUACAGACUCAGUUCAGCUCCUUUUUGAGUUAAUACAGAGACACCUCAUUUCCCACCUUUCCCUUGACUUUACUAUGUGUUGAACUAGGUAAAAAAAAAAAAAAGUAUUUUUACAUCUUCAAAUCACCUAGUUCUUCCAGGCAAUGUGCUCCAGUUUAUCUUCUUUGUCUUGUGGAGUUGAGAAAAUAUGUUAAUUUACUGAAGGGAUCCAGAUAUCUGAUCCAGAUCUCAUUUUAUGUCAAUGCUGGUAAUUAAAAGUAAUCUUUUGACUUGUAAACUAAGCAAAUUUUAUACCGAAUAAAGAGUACAGAAUAAAUCCUAAGGCAGCAAUUUUCUCUGUAUAGAAAUACACUUUAAAUAUAUCCAGGAUAAUCUGAUUACGUUUGCAGUGUACAGAACUAGCAAUUUCCUUUUAAAUAUUCUGACUGUUCUCACUGUUCCCUUGCUAUACUGGAAGGGUACACGACACUGUAUCAGCAUCUUGCACGUUUUACUAUCUCUAAAAUGGCCGUUUGUACCAUGAUCAGGCUCCCACUGGAAGCUGGAGGCCUGUUUUUGCAGCCCAUUCGCCUUAUUACUCUUCAUGUACAUUUUAAACAUCUCCCUCUUUGUCCUGUCCUACCUGCAGGUAGCGUUGUUGCUGAUGCUGUUGGUGCUGGAGUUGCAUAGGUGGCAGAGAGGAUGGCUGGGAAGGAGGCGUAGUGGCGAACCCUUGGUUUAACACUGCUUGUCCCAUCAGUAUGAUUGGAGAGCUGCUGCUGGAAGUCUGCACUUCCAAACUUUGAAACAUUUGUUGGGUUUGAGAAUACCUGUGGAAGAAAGAGGCAGAACAAUCAAGAACAAACUGUUGGAAGCAAAAGUCUUCUCCUAGGAUAGGGAUGGAAGCCCCUAGUCUUCCUAAAUAAUUCCUAAUAAAGGAUUCCAGGGCAGGGGACCUGCUAAUAUGAAUGAUGGCACCGUCGGCAGCACGGUACGGGAAAACAUCCCUUACUCUGCAUGAGCUGGACUUGGAGGGCAGAAUACACUUCACCUCAAAAUCUAGACCAUAAUUUAGGUUCAUUAAAGAUUCUGGUUUAUGUGUGCCUUCUCUUCAGCCACAGCGUUCACGUCCCAGGCUUGUUAAACCAAACGGCCUUUGA